AUUGAACGCUGGCGGCAUGCCUUACACAUGCAAGUCGAACGGCAGCACGGGUGCUUGCACCUGGUGGCGAGUGGCGAGCGGGUGAGUAAUACAUCGGAACAUGUCCUGUAGUGGGGGAUAGCCCGGCGAAAGCCGGAUUAAUACCGCAUACGAUCUACGGAUGAAAGCGGGGGACCUUCGGGCCUCGCGCUAUAGGGUUGGCCGAUGGCUGAUUAGCUAGUUGGUGGGGUAAAGGCCUACCAAGGCGACGAUCAGUAGCUGGUCUGAGAGGACGACCAGCCACACUGGGACUGAGACACGGCCCAGACUCCUACGGGAGGCAGCAGGGGGGAAUUUUGGACAAGGGGCGAAAGCCUGAUCCAGCAAUGCCGCGUGUGUGAAGAAGGCCUUCGGGUUGUAAAGCACUUUUGUCCGGAAAGAAAGCCUUGGCCCUAAUACGGUCGGGGGAUGACGGUACCGGAAGAAUAAGCACCGGCUAACUACGUG
RNAcentral lists this ribosomal RNA (486 nucleotides) under uncultured bacterium. RNAcentral's name for it is "partial 16S ribosomal RNA". It matches the Rfam family "Bacterial small subunit ribosomal RNA", at positions 29 to 507 of the family's 1533-position model. The record is from RNAcentral.